GAAAUGCGAUAAGUAAUGUGAAUUGCAGAAUUCAGUGAAUCAUCGAAUCUUUGAACGCACAUUGCGCCCGCCAGCACUCUGGCGGGCAUGCCUGUUCGAGCGUCAUUUCAACCCUCAGAACCCCUUGCUGGAUCUGGCGUUGGGGAUUGGCAUCCAGCCAGCCCCGAAAUCUAGUGGCGGUCCCUCCGCGACCUCCCCUGUGCAGUAGCGAUACCUCGCAGCGGGACAGCGGUCUGACCACGCCGUAAAACCCCCAACUUCUCAAGGUUGACCUCGAAUCAGGUAGGAAUACCCGCCGAACUUAAGC
This 307-nucleotide unclassified non-coding RNA is filed under the name plant metagenome. Its description in RNAcentral is "partial contains 5.8S ribosomal RNA, internal transcribed spacer 2, and large subunit ribosomal RNA". The stretch from base 1 to 105 matches the Rfam family "5.8S ribosomal RNA", at positions 50 to 154 of the family's 154-position model. The record is from RNAcentral.